CAGGCCUAUUGGGGGCGCAGCAGCGCGAACUUUGCAAUAGCGAAGCCUGACAGGGUACUUGAGUGAUGCCCGCUAGGUAUUCUUUUGGCACCUCUAAAAUGUGCAGAUAAGGGGUGGGCAAGUCUGUGUCAGCGCCGCGUAAUACCAGCACCCCGAGUGUCGGGACGAUUAUUGGGCCUAAAGCAUCCGUAGCCUGUUCUGCAAGUCCUCCGUUAAAUCCACCCGCUUAACGGAUGGGCUGCGGGGGAUACUGCAGAGCUAGGAGGCGGGAGAGGCAAACGGUACUCAGUGGGUAGGGGUAAAAUCCUUUGAUCUACUGAAGACCACCAGUGGCGGAGGCGGUUUGCCAGAACGCGCUCGACGGUGAGGGAUGAAAGCUGGGGGAGCAAACCGGAUUAGAUACCCGGGUAGUCCCAGCUGUAAGCGAUGCAGACUCGGUGAUGGGUUGGCCUCGAGCCAACCCAGUGCCGCAGGGAAGCCGUUAAGUCUGCCGCCUGGGGAGUACGGUCGCAAGACUGAAACUUAAAGGAAUUGGCGGGGGAGCACCACAAGGGGUGAAGCCUGCGGUUCAAUUGGAGUCAACGCCGGGAAUCUUACCGGGGGCGACAGCAGAGUGAAGGUCAAGCUGAAGACUUUACCAGACAAGCUGAGAGGAGGUGCAUGGCCGUCGCCAGCUCGUGCCGUGAGGUGUCCUGUUAAGUCAGGUAACGAGCAAGAUCCCUGCCUCUAGUUGCUACCACUGCUCUCAGGAGCAGAGGGGCUAAUUAGAGGGACCGCCGCCGCUGAGGCGGAGGAAGGAGGGGGCUACGGCAGGUCAGUAUGCCCCGAAACCCUCGGGCCACACGCGGGCUGCAAUGGUAAGGACAGCGGGCUCCGAUCCCGAAAGGGGGAGGCAAUCCCUCAAACCUUACCACAGUUAUGAUUGAGGGCUGAAACUCGCCCUCAUGAAUAUGGAAUCCCUAGUAACCGCGCGUCAACAUCGUGCGGUGAAUACGUCCCUGCUCCUUGUACACACCGCCCGU
RNAcentral lists this ribosomal RNA (1022 nucleotides) under uncultured archaeon. RNAcentral describes it as "bacterial SSU rRNA". It matches the Rfam family "Archaeal small subunit ribosomal RNA", at positions 317 to 1353 of the family's 1478-position model. The record is from RNAcentral.